RNAcentral lists this microRNA precursor (90 nucleotides) under Ectocarpus siliculosus. RNAcentral's name for it is "miR8630 stem-loop (esi-MIR8630)". Lineage: Eukaryota; Phaeophyceae; Ectocarpales; Ectocarpaceae. The record is from miRBase by way of RNAcentral.
GACAGCGGCGACAUCGGCGACGGAAGUCUCGACGACGGCACGUCGAAAGCCGCUACCGACGGCGACGCCGUCGCCGACGGUUGCCGCUGC